Molecule: long non-coding RNA, 714 nt
Filed under: Brassica rapa (field mustard)
Lineage: Eukaryota; Viridiplantae; Streptophyta; Magnoliopsida; Brassicales; Brassicaceae
Description: long non-coding RNA (BRAP_LNC001171)
Source: RNAcentral
GGGUAUUAUGCCUCAUGCCUACUUUAAACACUAAACGUUUUUGACUAGCACUUUAAACUUUAAAAGUGACAAUUUUAUCAUAACAAACCUCCAAUAAGGUUUACUUGUUUUCCAAGUCAACAAGGUGAUAUGUACGGUACAUUUUGUGAUGACGUACGUGUCUGUUUUAAAAAAAAUUCAAAAAAAUUCAAAAAAAAUUCAAAAAAAUUUGAAAAUUUCAAAAAAAAUCUAUAAAUUCAAAAAAAAAUAUAUAAAAAUAACAUUUCAAAAUUAAAAAUAAAAUAAUUUUUUUUAAAUAAUUAAUCCAAUUAUAAAACAAUAAAUAUAUAAUAUUAAUAACUUGAAUGGUGAUUCUAGAUUCUGUUUUUUGAUUUUUGAUUUUUUUUAAUUUUUGAUUUAUUAAUACUUAACUUAUUAAAUUUGAGGUUUGUUAUGAUAAAAAUAUCGCUUUUAAGGUUUAAAGUGCUAGUAAAAAACGUUCAGUGUUUAAAGUGCGAGAAUGUAACACUCUCAAGGUUUAACAUGCGAUUUUCCUCAAAAUAUGUGUAACCAAUCAAAUUUUAUAGUUCUAUUUUGUAAUUGGUUGAAUAGUAUUAAUUUAUAAUUUUAAUAGUACUUUUUAGAUAAAUUUUUUUUUUUAAUAAGCGUGUUUUGUCUAGAAUAUCUUAUAUUUAGGGACGGAGAGAGCAAUACUUUAAGUUUGGACGAGUGUCU